AUGAAGAAGAGGAAAUCCCAGGACCAUCAAAUAUCGGACAACGAGGAAGAGAUAUUAGUCCUAAGCGCUUCAAAGUCUACAACUUCGAAGGGCAAAGGCAAGCAACCAAUGAAGAAACCGAAAAUAGUGGAGGAACCUCAACCAUAUCUGGAGGACGAAGGAACAUCUGACGAGGAGGAGGAAAUGGAAUUGACAGCGGAAAAUUUGUUGAAUUCAGACGCGAUCAAACUGAUUCAACAAGCAACCGAACUGACUACGCUGAAUCUAGUGCUGUUGAAUCGGACAUUGACGGAAAUACAGCAAUGGAUUUUGACAAAUUCUUUCGAAACGAAAAAAUAUCCAAACAUCGAUUACAAAUGGACAGUGGUGAGUCUUCUACUGCAGAAAAUAUUGAAAAUUCAUUUUACACCCGUACAGUUGAAGACCGCUGGUGUUCAACAUUUGAUAAAUUAUCUCCUGAAGUCUCAAUCGUCCACGAUGUUUAUUGGGCUGAAACUACCGACCAACUUAAAGAAUCAAUUCUUACGGCGAUAUACAAAUCCGCCGCAAGGUGCCCUGAACUCGUCGCGACUCACGGAAAACAUAUCCACGCCAUCCAUGUCUGCUCAUGGCGUAACUCAACCUGCAAAUGUGGAAUUUCAAAACUCUUUCGGCGAAUCGGUCUCGGAGGAAGACGUAUUCGCACGGUUCACAGAAAAAAGAAUUUCCAGCGACGGAGAUGGAAAAAUUACCCUAAAUAUUUCUUACAAGCGCGACGGGAAAGUAUCGCAAUUCAUCUCGGAACCUGUCGAUGGAUAUUAUCUAGUAACGGUAUCAGUGACCAAGACGUCCUCCUUGAAGAAUGUGAAACAAGAGGAUUACUGGCGUCAUGCGGACUUCAGAGCGACAAUGGCUUGGGGACGAGAGGAACAACCGAUGGUACAGAUGCUUCAGCGGAGAGUGCUUCAAGCAAAAUCAGGUGUCGGUAAUGCCAAACACGGUCUACAAGGAGCUGGACCCCACGAAAUGGAAAAAAUAGAGCAGCAAAAAGGUGAUGGCGACGUGGAUCAUUAUGACGUCUUGCUUUUUAAACAGAAACGGAAGAGAAAACCGCUGACAGAGAUUGAUAUGAUGUUGGGCCGCAUAGCCCCCUAGUAGUUAUAUAUUUGUGUUGACUGUUCAUAAGCUACCACAUCACAUACCGCUGAGGUAGUGAUCGAGAUCGACAAAAUCCACGAAGUUGAAAGUUCAGGAAUCUUGCAUGAAGCUCAGAGCCAAACAAGUGCCACCAGGUACAACAAGGCCGCACAACGUGACCUGUUAGAUCCCAAAUUUUGAAUUUUUAAAUGUGUUUUAAACCUUCGUGACUUCAGUGCCUUAACAAUCGUUUUAAGUGUGAUUUUAAAUUUUUAUUUGUUUUGUUCAAGUGCAAUUUUAAAUCAUUAUUUGUUUUAUUAAAGUAUGAUUAUAAAUCAUUAUUUGUUUUAUUAAGUGUGAUUUUAAAUCAUUAUUUGGUUUAAUUUGUUGGCAUAAACUGUAAAACCAACAUUCCUUCCAGUGUUUGUGGCUUGAAGGCCUAAAAACAAAAACUGGUAAUUUAAGUUUAUUCCAGCAAUCUGGUGUCAUACUGUUAUCAGUUGUCCUCAAAUCCUAAGGUAAAACCUCUUCAGUGCUUUCCAUUGGAUUGACAUCUAGAAACCAAUUGGAAAUGAUUCAAACCUCGACUUGAACAUUAUUCGGUCGCAAUCAAGUGAGCAGAACAGAAGAAAGCGGUCCAAAAGGCAAUCAUACUUAAUCUAUUUAGUGAUGAAGUGUAUGAUUUAGUGCUAACAAUAAAAUCAACCAGUUUUGACGAUGCUGCCGCAGUGAUCAAGGUUCUUGAUACAGAACCUAAGCAAAAUUUAAUACCUUGAUCACACGAAUAGAAGCUGUUUUAAAUUCUAGACCUUUAACUGCUCUAUUGUCAGAUCAUAGGGAUCUUAUGGCUCUCACUCCGGGUCAUUUCUUGAUUGGGCGUCCUUUGGUAGCGCUACCCAAUAAACAGUACGAUCCAGAUGACCCUCCUAUUCUUAGGAGGUGGCAUUUUGCUGAGUUAUUUUGGCGAAGGUGGCAUAUAGAGUAUCUGCAUACCUUACUGCCGGGGGGCAAAUGGUGGGAGAAGGAGGACUCUCUGAAAGAGGGACAACUAGUGGUAUUACACGAUCCCUCUACCCCACUUUUACGGUGGAAGUUAGGACGAGUUAUCCAACUUCACCCUAGAAAAGACGGCCACACUCGAGUGGUAGAUGUUCACACAGCCUGUGGAACCCUCCAUCGUCCAGUACUGAAGCUAUUCCCUUUACCGGUUGCCGAGAAUUUAACCAAAUAAUCCUUGAUUUCAGAGAAAAUGUCUGGUUCGAAUUCCGGCCCCAAUAACAACAGCACUACCGUCCAGGAUCAAGCUUCCACCUCCUCUGUCAACCAGUCCCAAAUUUCUGUCUCAUCAUCAACUUCCCCUCCCUCAACACAGUCUCCUCAAAGUUCCGAAUGUCAAAAUCCCUCUGCACGACCUAGAAUGAUGGCGGAAUUUUACGGAAAGCCAAAUCCCGCCUGUGUGUACAUGCCGCCCGGACACGAUCCCCUAAAAGUUGGGACAAUGUCACAUUUAAAUAUUAAAUUGUCAUAAUGCGGUUUAAAUUCACCGUUUUGUAAUGCUUGAAAAUUCUCUCCCUCCUGCUUUGUUUCCGCCCUAUUCCUAAUCCGCUCCUUUUUUUCUGGUUGACCUUGCAGAUGUCGACACGGGAAAGAGUCAUUGGCCUUUUCUUAGAAAUCGUUACAUGCAUUAGUUGCCAGAAAACAAUCACGGCCCCGUUCUGAGCUUGUAAACUGGACCACGUCCAGUGCUCUGUGUGCGGAAGGCGAGACUCCAGACGAGGAUGCCCACUAUGUCGUAAUAUGUUGAGGAGAAAUCGACUUCUGGACCGCUUCGAAAAGGCAAUCUUCGAUGAAGUUACAAUUUUCCGCGGACCCAACGAGGAGCAGCUCUAACUCAGAACUUUGGAGAAGUUCAGGGGGGCAAAAUGAAGCGAGUCCCCCCUUGGUCGUCGCCUUAGUUACAAAAAUUCUUAGUUUUGAUCGAUCUCUGUUCUCGCAAUCAUCUCACCUCGCUAAAUUCCGUUUAUUUUUCCGUUUUUAUAUAUUUUUCCGUAUCUCCGUUUAUAUUUCCUGCAAAUAAAAGGUGAAACCCCAACUCAAAGUAAUUCAGAUUUUAUCACAAAUCCUACAAAAUUUCACAGCCUGACCCAGACCCAGACGGAUAUUGCUCAGCUGCGCUGACAAUUAAUCAGAAAGGGAGGUGGCUGGCGCUAUGACAGGUGAGGAGGGCUGCCAACCACAUAGAAACUGUGAGCAUUUUUUCUUACCAACAGUUUCGGGAAAGACAAUAUUUGUGGGUAAAUAUUUAACCAAUUUUUCUUUUUCAUUGGCUUUGAAAGAUGCAUAGCUGAGACUUCGUAUUCUUUGUAAAAAUGCAGCGUAUGUAUUAUAGGAGGUAUUCCUUUAAAACAGUACUUGAUAAUAAGAGCAGAAAUUUAAAUGCAAGGCAAUUUUAGAAAUGCUUAAAUGAGAACAUUCUUGUCAAAGAUAGAAAUCAUCCACCACUCCUUCGUGUUUCCUAUUGAGUGAUUUCUUGCAUAGAUAUUAGAAGUAAAAACUUGGCACACAGAUAUCCUUCAAUAAUCUUUGGUUAACAAUUGAAUUCAACCAUCAGAAAAAAAUUUCGUGGCACCGACAACUGGUUCAUCGUCGAUCCAAAAGAAAAAAAAAAGCCUACUUUCAUACACAUAGGAACCCAAAUUAUGUGAAAUCAACUUGCAUAUUAAGGAAAUAAAAAAACAUAACAAAGGCUGCUGAACAGACUAACUAAGUUAGCAUGGAAGCAAAGGAUUGAGAACCAGUCACGUGUUCAUGGCAUCAAUCAGUGCAUCUGUUUCAAACUCUGAGGUACAGUUAGGAGGCAGAAGCACAAUUGGUCCUUGGUUGGGAUCAGCAGGAAUUGUGAUGCACCGGUGACGAUACCUUCAUCACUGGGGAAACAGUUGGUCGUGUCUUCAUCAUCAGUGGGCAUGGUGCGGAUGGGUGAAGCUUCUAGGGUGACGGUUUGUGAAUUUCCUGCAAGAUCAGUGAAAAAAGGAUAAGAUGUCAGGUGAGAAAGCAUGACUCUUGGAGAACAAAAUAGUGCAAGGCGGAGGUCUAACUCUUCAAUCUGAUUUUCAUGUAUCAAAUUUUAUUCUCAAUUUUGUUCAUAAAGAGUGUGGAGCUAAAUGCAACAAAAUUGGAGACUGGACUAAGAAGUUUAAAUUUGAUAAAAUUUUGAUCCAAUAUUUUAUCACAUGAAGGUCUGAUAAAGGUAUUUUAGUUUUUCC
This 4382-nucleotide long non-coding RNA is filed under the name Bemisia tabaci. RNAcentral describes it as "lncRNA ENSSSA3NGG005444". Lineage: Eukaryota; Metazoa; Arthropoda; Insecta; Hemiptera; Aleyrodidae. The record is from RNAcentral.